This is a long non-coding RNA of Carassius carassius (crucian carp), 762 nucleotides long. RefSeq lists it as uncharacterized. Lineage: Eukaryota; Metazoa; Chordata; Actinopteri; Cypriniformes; Cyprinidae. The transcript is spliced from 2 exons. The record is from RefSeq and is a predicted model, not a curated record.
UCUCCGUCUCUCGGAAACAAUCGGCUUCGCGUCCAGCGAGCUAAUUAGCUUAGCUCCGCUACGACUCCGCUAGAGGUUACUCACUUACCAGGAAUAAUUGCGCUAAAAACUCCCUGCUUGCAUUUACCAUGAUCCGCGGUCUUCACCGGACUCUCGUCAACGGCCUUUCGCGGAGACGCUGGCGAUGGAAGUAAAAUGUUCUGGUUAAAAAGUACAGUUAAAAGAGGUAAGGCUGUGCUGUGCUCAGCUGUGUCUCACUGGUUUGUUUGAAUACAUUGGUCGCAUCCUUUAAUGGCGGCCACAGGGACACAACUCUACUCUACUCUACUCUACUCGGCUCCGAUUGGCAGCGCUGCGACUCGAUAGAAAGAGGAAAGAGUCUGUGCUGUACUCUAUAAAGCUCCAGAAGAGUUGACUCAACAUUAGAGCUGUCAACUGCUUUUAGCGAGAUUCUCGAUCUUUUAGAAAAAAUACUAUUCUAAAUUUGAUCAUAAUGUGGAAUGUGUAGUUUCUAUUGUUACAUUUUUACUUUUUUAUUUAUAAUACUGUACUUUUAUAUGUUAUGUAUCUAUUUUUUAUUUAAACUUUUUAAAUUAUUAUUAUUAAUCCUCAAUAACGAGAUCCAUUCAUUCAUUCAUAUUUUUCUAAACCUUUCCACAGACUCCCUUGAGUCCCCUUGGAAGUUCCCUGACUGUCAUGUGGAGUUGCAGUAUUUUUACAAUAAAGUAAUUAAAUAAAUAAAAUUGUAUUCUUUCCACACAA